Molecule: transfer RNA, 70 nt
Filed under: Marmota monax (woodchuck)
Lineage: Eukaryota; Metazoa; Chordata; Mammalia; Rodentia; Sciuridae
Description: tRNA.Ala
Source: RNAcentral
GGGCUGGGGCUCAGUGGCAGAGCGCUUGCCUGGCAUGUGUAAGGCACUGGGUUUGAUUCUCAGCACCCCA